UUCAAGUGACGUAUUGAUAAGUUAGAUCAGUUAAACUUAUCAAUACUCCCAUCAUGAUACUCAUCAUGAUGUAUCUCUUCAAGGAUGAUGUCAAGGCUUGACAUACAUCAUCAAGUUUGUAUGAUUGUGUUUGUAACUAUUCAUCAUAUAGUUUGAACAUUAUCAUAUAAAGCUGUGAAGCACUAUUACAUGAUGCACACAUUUGAAAUAUUCUAGCAAGUUUUGCAUUUUCUUCACAUGAUAAGAUAUCAACUCAGGGCAUAAUGCAAACUUUAGCACAUGUUCAUAUAUCUCUUGGUGAUGCAAGGAUGGCAUAAUCAUAGCAGUGUUUAUCAAUUCAUAUAUCUCCCCCUUUGUCAUCAACAAAAAACAUUAUGAUACCAGGAAAGUAACAAUAGCAAGCUUAUAGAGGAAUUUUACAUUGAUUGCUUUAAAUACUUCUUCCCCUUUUAUAAAGAUUUU
RNAcentral lists this long non-coding RNA (462 nucleotides) under Musa acuminata (dwarf banana). RNAcentral describes it as "long non-coding RNA (MACU_LNC004484)". Lineage: Eukaryota; Viridiplantae; Streptophyta; Magnoliopsida; Zingiberales; Musaceae. The record is from RNAcentral.